AAAUUCUUUUUACAUGCAUCGAGCCCUGAUUCAUUGAGCUAGUUCGAAUAAACUGCAGUCUGUAUCAUUUGCCACAAUCAAAUUAAAUUCCUAUAAUUUGUUAUUGGGUUUCUGUUGCAAUUACCAGUUCUUGAGCAAUUGGGAAGAAAUAAAUCUUGGGUACGAUUCCAUUCAUUGGAUUUUGGGUUUACUAAGCGUUGAGUUGAUUUGAAAUCGAACAAUAAAGAAAAUUAGAUCGAGAUGAGAAUGUGCUGAGAUGUGUGGUUGUCCUGGUUUUGUUGAGUGGAGGUUGGAUGGUGACAGUGCAGCAGAGAUGGUGAAUGGUUGAGCUGAUAGUUGCAGUUGAAUUGGUGAAAUAAAAUUGAGCUGCACUCCGUCCAAGUACGCUAAUAUUCCUGUAUUUGCAAUUUAUGUACAUCACAGUGUAAUGUUUGUCGAAGGUUCAGUUCCCAGCUAAUAUUUUCCGUCUCUAUAAAUCCCACUUGCCUCCUCCGCAUAUAUGGUUUUUUUUAGUCACUCGAAAAUGUGUUGGACUGCAAUUGCAGUGCUCUGAUCUUUAAAGGAGAACUAGGAGAACUCACCACCAAAUUGGAACACAGAUGAUCCUUGUGGUGAUCAUUGGGAUUGCGUUGGCUGCACUGGUUCAAGGGUUACAUCACUGGGAUUAUCCAACAUGAACCUCAAAGGUACAUUGACUGGUGACAUUAGAGUACUCGCUGAACUGAGAUCAUUGUGAGUUUGAGUUUCCUUUCUUCUUCUUCUUAGUAUUUAAUUGCCAGUGGAGUUCGGAACAUAAGUAGUAAGAUACCAAGGGGAACUGUCCCAACGGAGAUGAUUGUGAAACCUGAAAUAUGAGUUGUCCUAUUAAGAAAAUGAGAUUAUAUAUUCAAUAAAUGUAAAUAUGAAUUGGUUCUGGGCAGGUGCAGUGAUAAUGGUUAGAUUUAUGUCUAGGUUUUGCAGUUGGUUCUGGUAGAACUGAUAUUUGUUGUUGCUGGGUCAGUUAGCUGAUACUAAAGAAGGUGAUUAUGGAACUGACAAUAUUGAAGUCAAGCUGGAAUUGCAGGUUAGGAUUGAAGGGAGUAGAUGAGGUUGUUGUACCUGACUCGCAGGUAUUUGUUCUGCGAAAUGAUACAGUGACUUGAGCUAGUGAAGGACUGAGAUUGUAAUGAUGCUGGUGAUGCAGUGGCUAGGUAAAGAAGAUGGAAGUGAAGAAUUGAGUUGAGAAAAAGUUAGUGUUGCAAGACUGAGAUUGUAACCUAUUGCAUCUACAAAAUUUGUUGCAUAACUUGAUAUGCAGUCUAGAAAACGGUUGCAUAGCACGUUAUGCAUCAACUUUUUCGUCACUAUUGAA
Papaver somniferum (opium poppy) is the source of this 1351-nucleotide long non-coding RNA. RefSeq lists it as uncharacterized. The record is from RefSeq and is a predicted model, not a curated record. The transcript is spliced from 3 exons. Lineage: Eukaryota; Viridiplantae; Streptophyta; Magnoliopsida; Ranunculales; Papaveraceae.